GAGCCGCUAGCUCAGUAGGUAGAGCACCGCCCUUUUAAGGCGGGCGUCCUGGGUUCGACUCCCAGGCGGCUCA
This is a transfer RNA of Candidatus Magnetobacterium bavaricum, 73 nucleotides long. It matches the Rfam family "tRNA". From Rfam's summary of the family: Transfer RNA (tRNA) molecules are approximately 80 nucleotides in length. Their secondary structure includes four short double-helical elements and three loops (D, anti-codon, and T loops). NCBI's taxonomy places the organism in Bacteria, Pseudomonadati, Nitrospirota, Thermodesulfovibrionia, Thermodesulfovibrionales, Magnetobacteriaceae (SeqCode). The record is from Rfam.